GGUUGCUUGUGAUUUCCUUCUCUACUACUUACUGCGAAUUGCCCGGGGGGAGUACACGUGAGGUAUUUCAGUGGCUUGGAUGUACUUUUACUCAAGAAGAACCCAGACUUCUCCUCUCAAAAUUCAGAUGAUAGGAAGUGACAUUUCAAGAAAGUCCUAAGAAGUUUCUACCCCAUCUAUAAAAAAAUUAGAGGAUCGUGCCUGGAAGUUCGAGUUGGCUAUUUAAAAUCAGCUCCUUAGGUCAAAUCUCGACAACUAUGAAGUGCAAUAAGAAGAGUCCUUUUUUCCUCCCUAAAG
Zalophus californianus (California sea lion) is the source of this 297-nucleotide long non-coding RNA. RefSeq lists it as uncharacterized. The record is from RefSeq and is a predicted model, not a curated record. NCBI's taxonomy places the organism in Eukaryota, Metazoa, Chordata, Mammalia, Carnivora, Otariidae. The transcript is spliced from 3 exons.